RNAcentral lists this ribosomal RNA (269 nucleotides) under uncultured prokaryote. Its description in RNAcentral is "partial 16S ribosomal RNA". It matches the Rfam family "Bacterial small subunit ribosomal RNA", at positions 524 to 792 of the family's 1533-position model. The record is from RNAcentral.
UACGUAGGUGGCAAGCGUUAUCCGGAAUUAUUGGGCGUAAAGAGCGCGCAGGUGGUUGAUUAAGUCUGAUGUGAAAGCCCACGGCUUAACCGUGGAGGGUCAUUGGAAACUGGUCGACUUGAGUGCAGAAGAGGGAAGUGGAAUUCCAUGUGUAGCGGUGAAAUGCGUAGAGAUAUGGAGGAACACCAGUGGCGAAGGCGGCUUCCUGGUCUGUAACUGACGCUGAGGCUCGAAAGCGUGGGGAGCAAACAGGAUUAGAUACCCGGGUA